RNAcentral lists this ribosomal RNA (245 nucleotides) under uncultured bacterium. Its description in RNAcentral is "partial 16S ribosomal RNA". It matches the Rfam family "Bacterial small subunit ribosomal RNA", at positions 88 to 334 of the family's 1533-position model. The record is from RNAcentral.
AUGGCGACCGGCGCACGGGUGAGUAACACGUAUCCAACCUGCCGAUAACUCGGGGAUAGCCUUUCGAAAGAAAGAUUAAUACCCGAUGGCAUAAUAGAACCGCAUGGUUUGAUUAUUAAAGAAUUUCGGUUAUCGAUGGGGAUGCGUUCCAUUAGGCAGUUGGCGGGGUAAGGGCCCACCAAGCCGGCGAUGUCUAGGGGUUCUGAGAGGAAGGUCCCCCACACUGGAACUGAGACACGGUCCAG